Molecule: non-coding RNA, 25 nt
Filed under: Cricetulus griseus (Chinese hamster)
Lineage: Eukaryota; Metazoa; Chordata; Mammalia; Rodentia; Cricetidae
Source: RNAcentral
UAUGAAGCUUAGUGGCACUUACUGC